RNAcentral lists this ribosomal RNA (245 nucleotides) under uncultured Candidatus Saccharibacteria bacterium. Its description in RNAcentral is "partial 16S ribosomal RNA". It matches the Rfam family "Bacterial small subunit ribosomal RNA", at positions 457 to 700 of the family's 1533-position model. The record is from RNAcentral. Lineage: Bacteria; Candidatus Saccharimonadota.
UAUGUGACGAUAAUGACGGUAGCAUAUGAAUAAGGAUCGGCUAACUCCGUGCCAGCAGCCGCGGUCAUACGGAGGAUCCAAGCGUUAUCCGGAAUUACUGGGCGUAAAGAGUUGCGUAGGUGGCAUAGUAAGCGGGUAGUGAAAGCGUUCGGCUCAACCGAAUAAACAUUACUUGAACUGCUAAGCUCGAGGAUGAGAGAGGUUAUUGGAAUUCCCAGUGUAGGAGUGAAAUCCGUAGAUAUUGG